GGAUGUGAACAUUUACAUUUACAAAAUAUCACGAAUUAUAAAAGUAAAAGGACAAAAACAACUAGUAGUUAGUUGACCGCUCCAAAUGAGAAAGUCAUAAAACAACAAGAAAGAUCUCUACAAAAUUAUUAAAGUGAAAACAAAUAGAACCUAAUAAAUGUUAUAAUAAAAGAAAAAUUAUUCCAACCCAUCUAUAUUUUUUCAUCUAAAAUAGAUUGCUAUUUCUUUCCUCUAAAUAUAAAGUUAAUCUUUUUAUUUACAAACUAGCCCUUUAAUUUUAAAACUUUUAUAAUUGUAACCAAAGCAACUAGUUUUUUAGAAAUUACAGCUUUUUAAAUAUAGAAUACACUUUAUAUUUAUAUAAUAGUCUUUUAAAGAAAAUUUAAUUUAAAACAAAUCACAAUUUUAUGAAAACCUUGUAAAAAUUAGAAAUACAUAGGUGUUAAUUAUUAACUUUCAUAAAUAAAUAAAACUUGUUGUAAAAUUUAAAUAGAAUCUUUGAGAAUAUUCAUUUUUAUAGAUAAAAAUAGAGGAAUACAUUGGAAAUAAAUACAUCUCUAUUUAUAAGUAAAAAUAGGAAUACAUUGGAAAGAAACACAUCAUAUCUAUAAAUAAAACAAAAUACUUAAAUGAACUUUUGAAACAAAAUUCGGUUAAUUCGUCAACUUCUAAUGUGUUAAGUGCACUAUAUAAUGUAUAGUUUAUGUAAUAAAUGUAUAAGUUAUAAUUGAAUAACUAAAAUAAUCAUAUAAAGGACCAGAUUGAACAUGUGUUCUUAAAAUUACAUAAAAUAUAAUAGCCAUUUAAUAUAUAUAUAUUUGGAUAUAUUUUUAUAAAGACCAUUGAACAUAUCUAUUCUUAAAAAUACUAGUAUUUAUUAUUUGCUUUAUUUUAUUGAAUAUUUAUUUACUUUACUUUCUAGAGUUAAGGAUAUUCAAAAUUUCCGUUCAAAUCAAAAUGGAUAAUAAAUCGAAUCAAAAUUUAUAGAUAUUUUCCUAACAUUAAAUAUAAUCGCUAAUUUAUAUUGGCACGUAAACACUGAGACGGAGUAAAUUUCAUGAAGAUGUUAUUUAAAAUUUGCAGUUUCAGAUAAGGCCAUGAUUUGAAACUUAUAAACUUAUAUAAUCCAAUAUAUUUAUAAUUUCAUUCCAUACCAUUCACAGCUUAUUAUUCAAAUGUAUAUUUUUAAUUGGUUUUAUUUUUGAUGUAACAUUGAAAAUAUAGUAACAUGGUCUUUACCUAUAACAUCAGAAUUAUAAUUUAUAUUUCCAAAAUAUUUAAAAUUGACAAAUAAAUCUGAGAGAAAUAAGCAUUAUAUUUUUUUUUCUUUUCAAAAAAAAGUGUAAAUGACAAUUUAUCUGCUAUCGCCCGGUUAAUGCAAAGUAGUUUUAGACUUUAGUGAAAUAAAAAUAACGUUGACAAAGCGUGUUAGAAUGUAACAUCACUAAGUUCAAGAAUCUGCAAAAAUUAACGUCAACGGAGACAUUCUCUUGUCGUUUUCACUUUCCAUAGGUCAUCAAAACCCAACAGUCGGCAGCUUUCCAGCGAUAUCAAACCCGACCCAUCAAGAUUCGGACCAUUCCGGAUCAACCCGGUUACCCAAAAUCCAACCUUUACCUCUUUAAUUCUCCGAAAGUUCGAAACUUUGAAAAUGAAUCCAUCGCGACUCUUCUUCUCCGGCGAUGGACGUUUCACACCGUUAGAGUUUCCAUCUUUAAGAUUGAAGACGAUGAUGAUGAUCAUCGAGCUAGGUAAAGUUUCCCUCUUUAAGAUUGUAUACAAAUGUUGAAGUGAAUGUACUCUUUACUCUGUUUCAUUGAUGUUACUCUUGAUGCAUCCUAAUUAGUUUUGUAUGUCUUUAUUGCUAUUAAUAUUUUAGGAAGAGAUAGAAAGGCUUUCUUUUUUUCUUUUUUUUUUUGAACACAGAGAGGCUUUCAAAAUGCAAGUUUCUGACUGUAAAGAACUCUGAGAAAGUGAAUGGCCAAGUCCUGGAAACUCAAGGAGGGAUAUCUAGCGAUGAUGCAGAGUGUAGCAGCAUUCGUCUGUGGUAGAGCUUCCUUGUAGGCACCACUUCCACAGUUUUUGUGUAGACAAAUGGCUAAGGAUCAACAUAGUUGGCAGUGAACAAGUGUGAGAGAAGGAAGAAGCUUGGUUCCUCACUUGCUCUCUUGAGUUCAUGUAUGCGAAUGUCAUGAGCUCAUCAUCAUCACACACUGCUUUACACCUCGUUUAUUUUUUGACCAAUACAGAGGAAAGAACAAGAAGUUUUGUUUUGAAAACAAAGCCGAACUUCUUGUUUUUGUUUCUAAUCGUUUUUAUGUAGUUGUAAAUGCAAUAAGUAAAUAGUUCGGCUGAACAAAAUGUUUCUCGAGGUCAUUGUGGUGAGGUGGAUCAGAGAAUGCGAAUACAAUUUAUUUUUAUUUUUUUAUAUUAAAUAAUUUUAUAACUAAUAAUUAUUAUAAAAUAAUUUUAUAAUUGAUAAGUAUAUCUACCCUAUGAAAUUCACAUUUGAUGGUUAUGUUUGCAAUAUUUGAAUCGUAUUUACAUUGCAUUUAAUUGUUUAAUAAAGAUUUAUAUCUGAUAGUAUCAUGUUAAAAAAUGUUGUAAGCAUUUUCUACUAAUAUGUCGAAAUUUAUUUCUAAAAUAUAGAUCUCA
Brassica rapa (field mustard) is the source of this 2655-nucleotide long non-coding RNA. RefSeq lists it as uncharacterized. NCBI's taxonomy places the organism in Eukaryota, Viridiplantae, Streptophyta, Magnoliopsida, Brassicales, Brassicaceae. The record is from RefSeq and is a predicted model, not a curated record.